This 330-nucleotide unclassified non-coding RNA is filed under the name soil metagenome. RNAcentral's name for it is "partial contains 5.8S ribosomal RNA, internal transcribed spacer 2, and large subunit ribosomal RNA". The stretch from base 1 to 121 matches the Rfam family "5.8S ribosomal RNA", at positions 35 to 154 of the family's 154-position model. The record is from RNAcentral.
GAUGAAGAACGCAGGCGAAAUGCGAUAAGUAAUGUGAAUUGCAGAAUUCAGUGAAUCAUCGAAUCUUUGAACGCACAUUGCGCCCCCUGGUAUUCCGGGGGGCAUGCCUGUCCGAGCGUCAUUACAACCCUCAAGCUCAGCUUGGUGUUGGGCCCCGCCGCCCCGGCGGGCCCUAAAGUCAGUGGCGGUGCCGUCCGGCUCCGAGCGUAGUAAUUCUUCUCGCUCUGGAGGUCCGGUCGUGUGCUCGCCAGCAACCCCCAAUUUUUUUCAGGUUGACCUCGGAUCAGGUAGGGAUACCCGCUGAACUUAAGCAUAUCAAUAAGCGGAGGA